RNAcentral lists this transfer RNA (93 nucleotides) under Xanthomonas boreopolis. RNAcentral's name for it is "[Pseudomonas] boreopolis tRNA-Pro". The record is from RNAcentral. Lineage: Bacteria; Pseudomonadati; Pseudomonadota; Gammaproteobacteria; Lysobacterales; Lysobacteraceae.
CGCGUGCUAGGCCGGGUCGCGGCCGGGUCCGCCCUGGACGUGGACCGCGCGGUGGCCGCCGCGCGGCGCGGUUUCGAGUCCGGGCGCUGGUCC